AUGAACGCUGGCGGCGUGCCUCAUACAUGCAAGUCGAGCGAACGGACGAGAAGCUUGCUUCUCUGAUGUUAGCGGCGGACGGGUGAGUAACACGUGGAUAACCUACCUAUAAGACUGGGAUAACUUCGGGAAACCGGAGCUAAUACCGGAUAAUAUUUUGAACCGCAUGGUUCAAAAGUGAAAGACGGUCUUGCUGUCACUUAUAGAUGGAUCCGCGCUGCAUUAGCUAGUUGGUAAGGUAACGGCUUACCAAGGCAACGAUGCAUAGCCGACCUGAGAGGGUGAGCGGCCACACUGGAACUGAGACACGGUCCAGACUCCUACGGGAGGCAGCAGUAGGGAAUCUUCCGCAAUGGGCGAAAGCCUGACGGAGCAACGCCGCGUGAGUGAUGAAGGUCUUCGGAUCGUAAAACUCUGUUAUUAGGGAAGAACAUAUGUGUAAGUAACUGUGCACAUCUUGACGGUACCUAAUCAGAAAGCCACGGCUAACUACGUG
RNAcentral lists this ribosomal RNA (496 nucleotides) under uncultured bacterium. RNAcentral describes it as "partial 16S ribosomal RNA". It matches the Rfam family "Bacterial small subunit ribosomal RNA", at positions 29 to 507 of the family's 1533-position model. The record is from RNAcentral.